UACGUAGGAUGCAAGCGUUGUCCGGAAUUAUUGGGCGUAAAGAGCGCGCAGGCGGUUCGACAAGUCAGAUGUAAAAUAUCCCGGCUUAACCGGGAGGGGCCAUUUGAAACUGUCGGACUAGAGUGGAGCAGAGGAUAGUGGAAUUCCCGGUGUAGUGGUGAAAUGCGUAGAUAUCGGGAGGAACACCAGUGGCGAAGGCGACUUCCUGGCCUGUUCUUGACGCUGAGGCGCGAAAGCUAGGGUAGCAAACGGG
Molecule: ribosomal RNA, 253 nt
Filed under: uncultured bacterium
Lineage: Bacteria
Description: partial 16S ribosomal RNA
Rfam family: Bacterial small subunit ribosomal RNA
Source: RNAcentral